GNANGGUGCAAGCGNUAUCCGGANUUACUGGGNGNAAAGGGAGCGNAGACGGCNGUGNAAGUCNGAAGNGAAAGCCCGGGGCUCAACCCCGGGACUGCUUNGGAAACUANGCAGCUAGAGUGUCGGAGAGGCAAGUGGAAUUUCCAGUGUAGCGGUGAAAUGCGUAGAUAUUGGGAGGAACACCAGUGGCGAAGGCGGCUUGCUGGACGAUGACUGACGUUGAGGCUCGAAAGCGUGGGGAGCAAACAGGAUUAGAUACCCUGGUAGUCCACGCCGUAAACGAUGACUACUAGGUGUCGGGUGGCAGAGCCAUUUCGGUGCCGCAGCAAACGCAAUAAGUAGUCCACCUGGGGCGU
Molecule: ribosomal RNA, 356 nt
Filed under: uncultured bacterium
Lineage: Bacteria
Description: partial 16S ribosomal RNA
Rfam family: Bacterial small subunit ribosomal RNA
Source: RNAcentral